UACGAAGGGGGCUAGCGUUGUUCGGAAUUACUGGGCGUAAAGCGUGCGCAGGCGGUUAUAUAAGACAGUUGUGAAAGCCCUGGGCUCAACCUGGGAAUUGCAUUGGAUACUGGCAGGCUAGAGUGCGGUAGAGGAUGGCGGAAUUCCCGGUGUAGCAGUGAAAUGCGUAGAGAUCGGGAGGAACAUCUGUGGCGAAGGCGGCCAUCUGGACCAGCACUGACACUGGAGGCACGAAAGCGUGGGGAGCAAACAGG
RNAcentral lists this ribosomal RNA (254 nucleotides) under uncultured bacterium. RNAcentral's name for it is "partial 16S ribosomal RNA". It matches the Rfam family "Bacterial small subunit ribosomal RNA", at positions 524 to 776 of the family's 1533-position model. The record is from RNAcentral.